RNAcentral lists this ribosomal RNA (140 nucleotides) under uncultured eukaryote. RNAcentral's name for it is "partial 18S ribosomal RNA". It matches the Rfam family "Eukaryotic small subunit ribosomal RNA", at positions 1299 to 1458 of the family's 1831-position model. The record is from RNAcentral.
UGGUGGAGCGAUUUGUCUGGUUAAUUCCGUUAACGAACGAGACCUCAGCCUGCUAACUAGCUACACGGAGGUGAUCCUCCGUGGCUAGCUUCUUGGAGGGACUAUGGCCGCUUAGGCCAAGGAAGUUUGAGGCAAUAACA